RNAcentral lists this ribosomal RNA (665 nucleotides) under uncultured bacterium. Its description in RNAcentral is "bacterial SSU rRNA". It matches the Rfam family "Bacterial small subunit ribosomal RNA", at positions 75 to 719 of the family's 1533-position model. The record is from RNAcentral.
CGGCUUCGGCUGGCGAGUACAGCGGCGGACGGGUGAGUAACACGUGGGUAACCUGCCUAGGUGCGGGGGACAACUUGGGGAAACUCGGGCUAAUACCGCAUACGCUCCCAGGACUGCGGUCCGGGGAGGAAAGCUGGCCUCUUCUUGAAAGCUAGCGCACCUAGAGGGACCCGCGCUCGAUUAGCUCGUUGGUGGGGUAACGGCCUACCAAGGCGACGAUCGAUAGCCGGCCUGAGAGGGUGAUCGGCCACACUGGGACUGAGACACGGCCCAGACUCCUACGGGAGGCAGCAGUGGGAAUAUUGGACAAUGGGCGCAAGCCUGAUCCAGCAACGCCGCGUGGAGGACGAAGGCCCUCGGGUCGUAAACUCCUGUCAGUGGGGACGAAAAAGCAGGGUCGAACAGGCUUUGCCAUUGACGGUACCCGCAGAGGAAGCCCCGGCUAACUCCGUGCCAGCAGCCGCGGUAAUACGGAGGGGGCUAGCGUUAUUCGGAAUUACUGGGCGUAAAGGGCGUGUAGGCGGCUUGAUAGGUCAAAGGUGAAAUCCCUCGGCUCAACCGAGGAACUGCCUUUGAAACCAUCUCGCUCGAGGCUGGGAGGGGGUAGCGGAAUUCCUGGUGUAGCGGUGAAAUGCGUAGAUAUCAGGAGGAACACCAGUGGCGAA